RNAcentral lists this ribosomal RNA (945 nucleotides) under Triticum aestivum (bread wheat). Its description in RNAcentral is "partial small subunit ribosomal RNA". Lineage: Eukaryota; Viridiplantae; Streptophyta; Magnoliopsida; Poales; Poaceae. The record is from RNAcentral.
AUGGCAUCUUCCAUUGGUCCGUCACAGAACGAGCAGGUUGCAUUAUGUGGCCAGCCCUUCUUGGCUAGCACGUCGGCAGUGUUGCAACGUCCAAGCAUUGCCAACCACGCAAACAGUUUACACUUGCCAGGCGCGUCUGUGUUUCAGAUAAAGUCAGCGAAGCCACUCCUGGUGCAUCCUUCAAACUGGAUCAGGUAUGCCGACCGGGCCGUGUAUAUCCCGUCGGAGGUCCAUCUCCACCGCACCUGGUCAUGCGCCGUCGAUAGGACAGUGCCGCUGAUCCCUUCCCAUAGUGCCAAGAACUCUCUGGUUGCCUGUAGCGGUAGGCGUUGCUUGAGGUGUCUCAUCCAUCUGCCUUCCACAAGCGCUUGGGCGACCGUUAAGUUCUUCCUAGUGCAAUGCUCGAACAGCACCGGGAAAGCAUGUUGGAGGCAGAUACCUUUGAACCAUGGUUCCUUCCAGAAGAGUAUCCGCUCACCAUUGCCAAGCUGGAAGUCGACCGAGGCAUUGAAAAGGGCUAUGACAGUGCGGUCAAUUGGUAGUUGUAGCCCGUCCCAAGCCUUGUUGCCAUCGGUCCAGGAGCGCCAGAGCCAUCUCAUCCGCAAUGCCCUACUAUGUGCCAGCACGUUGGUGAUGCCGAGCUCCUUAGGCCUACAAAUAGUUCUCCAGCUAACCAAACACUUGCCCCCCGAUGUCGCCUCGGUGCCCUCCCAGAGAAAACCACGCCGCACCCUGUCAAUCAGCUUCGCAAGCCAAGUUGGCAUGAUCAACGCGAUCAUCUGUAAGAUCGGCAUGGCCGAGAGCACCGUUUUGACCAGGUCCAAUCUCCCGUCCAUGGUAAGCAAGACCAUCUUCCAUCCCUUCAUUCUGCAAACUAGCUUGUCACAUAUUGGUUGGAGGUCAUUCUUCUUCAGCUUUGAAUCUGUCAGGGGCAUGCCGAGGUAG